GAUAAUAGUAAAUUAUUUCACAAACAAGCAUAAUCCAUCUGAUCUCGGAAGCUAAGCAAGAUAGGGCCUGGUUAGUACUUGGAUGGGAGACCACCUAGGAAGACCAGGUGCUGUAGGCA
Molecule: ribosomal RNA, 119 nt
Organism: Pteropus vampyrus (large flying fox)
Lineage: Eukaryota; Metazoa; Chordata; Mammalia; Chiroptera; Pteropodidae
Source: Ensembl